RNAcentral lists this transfer RNA (72 nucleotides) under Marmota monax (woodchuck). RNAcentral describes it as "tRNA.Ala". It matches the Rfam family "tRNA". From Rfam's summary of the family: Transfer RNA (tRNA) molecules are approximately 80 nucleotides in length. Their secondary structure includes four short double-helical elements and three loops (D, anti-codon, and T loops). Lineage: Eukaryota; Metazoa; Chordata; Mammalia; Rodentia; Sciuridae. The record is from RNAcentral.
GGGGUUGUGGCUCAGCGGUAGAGCGCUUGCCUAGCAUGCACCGAAGCCCUGGGUUCGAUUCUCAGCACCACA